Molecule: non-coding RNA, 54 nt
Organism: Salmo salar (Atlantic salmon)
Lineage: Eukaryota; Metazoa; Chordata; Actinopteri; Salmoniformes; Salmonidae
Source: Rfam
ACACGUCCAAUUUGUAAGUCGCUCUGGAUAAGAGCGUCUGCUAAAUGACGUAAA